AUAACCAAAAAUCAUAAAACCAUGACAAUAUCAAUAGCACACACGUGGGUUUUAUUUUUGUAGAAAUCAGACCGAAUGAAAAUCUGGUAUGAACAAGACUGAUGCACUGAUGUCAUUGUGGUGCAGCAAGGACAUAAACAUGGGCACUCACUGACUUGGAGUGCCUGAGGUCUGCUAAUACAGAUGUCAUCUAGCAUUCUUUCCCAAUUAAUGGUGAAAGAUCCCAUCUGUCCUGCUGGGAGCUAUCAGGCCUGUGUGUUGUCUUCUUGGCAGUAAGUCAGCUCAAGAGAGAACUGAACCCAGCCUAGCCAGUCAGCCUGGACUGAUCUAUCAAGGAGCUCAUGUGGAAGAAGUUAGUGUGUCAAUAGCAAGAAAUUAGAAGCAGUAAUUGAACAGAAGCUGUGCAAUGAUGGGAAUAUAAUCUUUAGCUAUGUCAAGUAGGGAUGCCCUGAGCUUAAAAGAAGAGAAACAGGAAAUGUUAAAAGUAAAAAGUGAGGAAUUUUUAAAUUUAAUUUGCUGCAAGUUUUUGUUUGUUUGUUUGUUUGUUUCUAAUAAAAAUGACAGAUAACAAUAAUUUGAUCUGAGAGCUUAAACAUUCAGUGACUGUCUAAGGCUGUGACAAAAAGAAUUUUGUUAAUGUUCUUACUAGGAUUCAGAGAUCCCUUCUUAUUACAGUAACAUUAAUCUGUACUUAUGCGAAGUUCUCAGAACAUACAACCAUCUCAGAACUACAAAUAUAUUGGAACCAUUUUAUGAGACCAUUAACGUGCAACAGAGUUUUAGAGUCUUUGAGUCCUGUCUUAGCACACUCUUGGCUCUUAAUAAAUGACUCACCAAGAGUAGCAUAAUAGUUUUCUUUUUAAAAUAUAAAUUAAUGAAUUACAGUGAAAGAACAUAAAAUGAGCUACAGAUAAAUCAUUUUUUUGUUGUUGUUUUGACUACGUGGAUUUUCAUUUCAUCGAUACCUCUGGAAGAAAACUACCACAAACUGGCACUCCACAGUUGAAUAUUCAUGAGAAUCACUGGCUUAAACCAAUUUACUUUUCUUUCUUUUUUCCAGGAUUUUUUAUAUUCAUUCCAUGUGUUUUUGAGAGAAGAAUGUAGUGUGCUCCUAUCUCUUGGUUAACACCUCAGCUGAGGAGUAGUAUGAAUUGCUUCUUAUUUUGUUUGUUCUGUUGUUUUGUUUCAUUUUCCACUCUAUUUAGUUUUCUCUUAUUAGAGGGAAAAAAUGUUUCUCCAAACAGCUGUUUUUUUCAAUAACAUGCAUCAGAUGAAUACCACAACAUUAUCUAUUAACAUGUAUAUAUAUAAUGAUAUAGAUACGUAAUUUACCAUACAGUAUCUCCUCCUCCUAAGUGUGUUGUACACAAUGAGGUGUGACUGGAUAUCAUAAACAACACCAUAUGACCUUGCAUGAUGUGCUACCCUAGCUCUGCUGCCUGCAGUAGAAACCACACAGAUUUAGGUGGCACAAAACAAACCAUGAAGAUAGAACUUGACAGAAGCAAAACAAAAUGUUUUUAUUUGCCACUACCUGCACUUGAGGGGAUGAUUUUCUGAGAAAGUUGGAUGCACCUUUUCUUCCAUUUGAAAUGAAAACAUGCACUGCAUCAUGCAGUGUUUUGUAUUACAUGAAAUAGUCUCCCAUGAUCCCCUGGGAGACUAUUUGAGCUGAGAUAGGUGCUGGGAUUGUUCAUGGGAUACUUCUGAGGAAACAGAGCCAUACAUCUGCUAUAUCCAUAGUCCUUAACAGAGUUUCCUGAUCCUUGAUGCUGUGGGUGCAUGGUAUACCUAGUUGUGUUCCUCUAACUCACAAUUCAGAAAAAGAAACAAAAAUAGAAAAAGGAUAUCUCUUGCCUUCCCUUUCUUUUCUCACAUACCUGCAGAAGAAACCAACUUUUCAAACCCAUAUCUUACAGUAGGGAAGAAAAUAAAUUCCUGCUUUUGAAAUAAGAGUUGUUGUAUCACAUAUGAAUUUGAGGAAUUUGCAGAUUUAUAAGUUUAUGCAGAAAUCACAGCAGAGGUAUGCUUUCAAAAUCACCCCUGUGCAAACAAGGAAAUAAUAAAAGACCAAGUUUUCAGAGGUGUUUAAUCACAUCACCAUGAUAUUACUAGCAGGUAUUAUGCUAGUCUUUUAGUCUAAUUUAUGGCGUUUUUCUUUUAAUUUAACAUGUUUGGGGAGGAACUCAAUCUGAGACAACAACUUAUACAUCUAGGAAUCUUAAUCAAAAACCAAAUUCCAUCCCUUAGGUCUGAUAUAACCUCAUCAUAUAUUCUAAGGAACUGUUCAACAGUUCAUAGUAUUCAGAAAUAAAACAUUACUAGAUCAAAAGGUGAACAUUAUGUUAGAACUUUCUUCCAAAUGGAUCUUCUUUGACUACAAAAUUCAGACAUUAAAUGUGUCUUCAUUUCUAAAGGGUAACAAAAGUCAAAAUCUAAGGUUUUCCUGUAAGGCACAAUGUUCCAAAAAACUUUGUUUCAACUGUUCUGUAGCAUUACAUUUUGAUAAGGUAGAAAUCUGCUGUUCUGGAAAGUUUGAAAAAUUGUCUCAUCUUUUUUUUACUCUUACUGUGCAUUAACUGAUAAUACAAACUAAAUGUCAAAAUGAAAUGUUUUGACCUUAUCAAAAUGGUUCGUUUUGGUUAUUUUCCCAUCAAGAUUUUAAACAAAAUUGGUACGUUAUUGUAAAACAUUUUAGUGUUGUUAAAUGCAAAUUAUCUUUCUGGCAACCUGUUUCACUGGAAAAAUCAUGAUCAGCUCAUCAGCUCAUCAGCAGACUUUGCUGAAUAUGGCAUUUUUUCUCCUGUAGAUCUGUAUGUCUGUGUGUUCAGUAUUUGUGGAGUAGAUGUGUGUUUAAUUCAAGCUGAACUGAAAUCACUUUCUCUAAAACAUGUGUUUGGAGAGUUGAGCUGAUUUAUGCUACACGUGGUUUCCUUGUAGUUUCACGUUAGGGCUAUUUCCGAUGAUUAAUGAUGUGUUAUAGUCAUGCCAGGGAUUUCUGUGUACGUUUUGGGUUGAAAGAAGCUGUAGGGGAUGUAGCUUGUAGCCAGCUGUCAAUCUAGCCCAGCCACACUAUAAUGGGCUUGACAGUUAUUGCUAUCUCUCCUCUCACAUUCUUAUGCUCUUCUUGAGCUCUGAGCAUGUAUAUAUCACAUAUACCAUCUUGGCCACAUGGGAGACUCUGGUGUGCUUCUCCUUAUGUGACGUGGUGGCCCAUGGGCACUUAAGAGUUUGCUGUUCUAUUUCCCUGAGAAUGCUAGGAUGAUUAAAUAAUUUAUUUAGACACAUUUAAUGGACUUUUAAAAGAUACAUUUAUUGGUUAUGAAAAAAGAUAAUGUAAAAGCACCCAGUACUGAAAUUCCCUCAAGAAAAUCUGCAGCUUGGGCAGUGAGAAUUUCUUUGUUACAGUUCAGUAAUUGGAUUUCAUGGUCUCCUGUGAGGCCCAGAAAUAAAAGCCAAAAAGUUGUCUACUGGGAAAGGCAUGCAAAUUGUGGCUAAGUACAGAAAAUAACGACAUCAAAUACAAAUACUGGCAAUGAGUGAUGCAUCCUUCAGCUCUGGUAGGAAGCUAAACAUCUGUCAGCAGCUAAAAUUCGGUAUAUAAGACUUUUUUAUUAUACUCCUAAUCAUUUCUAACUUCUUCACUCUGCUUCCUGUCUUGAUUAAAAACAUCUUCUGAGAUGUUUCAUUCAGAAAGUUGAAAACUUCUGUGCCUGGAAGGAUGGAAUGUACCUGUUUCUAAAGAGGAGCAGCAGUGAAAAUGACAAAGAAUGGACUGAUACAAAAAAAAAAAAAAAAAAAAAAGACCAGAAAAUUCUCUGAGGAACUUAUGUUCAUCAUGUGGAAAGUUCAGCAGCAAUAUACCAAAGCCCUCCAGGAUUGUGUUGGUGGCAACUAGCAUGGCGACUCUUAUUUUUGGUGCUUCACCAAGGAUAUCCAACUUGAUGUACAGGAAAUGGUAAACGAAGAUGCUGAAGUUUAAAUGACUUACUCAAGUAUACUUCAUGAAUCAAUGUCUGAAUCAUCUCCAGUUUGGUAACACUUGGUACACCAAAGCUGCAUUAUUACAGGUACUGUGCAAACAUACAACAAACACAUGCUCCCAAAAGAUAAUCAAAGAAAGAGAUAGGAUCUCAUUGUUCAAUACAAAUGAGAUAUGCACAUGGGAGAAGUGAGAUACUCACAGAUAUGAUGGUAUGUAUCACCAGUGUACAUUAUUUGCUUAAUCAGUCAAAAUAUUUUAAAAUUUCAGAACUACCAUAGUCUUUACAGUUGUGAGGUAAGAAAUAAAUAUUUGAAGUAUUAUUUCUGUUCCAGAAAAUUUUAAAAUGAAUAGGAAUAUUUGAAUGCAGCAUAAAACUAAAGAAAAUCUUACUAUUUAUUGUGCUUUUGGUCUUAUACAUCUAUGCCAAAGGACAAAGCAGCAAUAUUACAGCAAGCUUCUUCUAAAAAAAAUAGAUAAUUUAGGGAGUUUUUUUUCCCAUUUUGGAAGCUGCUCUAGAACUCAAUUCCUCUGGUAGCUUUAUGCAUGCAUUAUGAUAAUGCAAUUCUAAAAUAUUUAUUUUAGCUAAUAGCUAUUUCCUUUAGGUGAAUGCAUACUGUGCCGAAGAGUGCUGUAAAGAAGAGACUAGGAAUGGAAUGAGAAAAAAAAAAAAGAUGCUACUCAUUUCAGAUUUUGAAAGCAAGCAAAGUAAUUUUUUAUAGCAGAUGGAUGUUUCUAAAGUACAUUGUCUUUAGCCAUGGGUGAAAUGUGAGGAGAAUGUUUAAAUAUGUAGCCAAGUGUGAAUACAUAUUUCUACUGAUAAUAGAGUAGCUUAUUAUUUUUCAGCUUUUGAUGAAAUAAUAACAUUACAAGUUUUAAAAGGUAACUGGGCAAUUUUUUCCACCUUUUCCAUUUUUCUUUUUGACUUAUCUAUUAAAAUUAGAAAUUUUUAUUAUGAUGUCCUUUUUCAAGGUGUGUAUUUAAGUGCUUUCCACUCUCUUUUGCCCUUCUCUCUUUCUUCCAUUCCCUGACUUCCUGAAACUGUAGAACUGGGCAGCAAUUUUAGAAUGGUAACAACCGAGUAAAAUUCAGUAAUAAUAUAGAUAUGGAUGGAUCUAUUUCUGGAGUUAGUGAAUUGUUGGCUGGAUAUUUAUGUUGAGAAAUUACAAUCUUCUGAGGUUGAAAAUUCUGUCCAUUUCAUUUUUCCUUUUUUUUUUUUUUCACUGAAGCAGUAAAAAAACAAUAAUAAAAUAAAAUAAAAAAUAAAGGUGAUUUUCUCAGUGCCAUCACUUUUUUGUGUUUUUCCCUCCCGUGGAGAAUGGGAAAGAGAGGCCAGGAAGAGAAAGAGAAAACUGAAAAUAAUUAAUAAUAAUAAUGUAUAGCAAACAUUAAAAA
Molecule: long non-coding RNA, 5377 nt
Organism: Gallus gallus (chicken)
Lineage: Eukaryota; Metazoa; Chordata; Aves; Galliformes; Phasianidae
Exons: 3
Source: RefSeq, a predicted model, not a curated record